This 83-nucleotide transfer RNA is filed under the name Verrucomicrobiota bacterium. RNAcentral describes it as "tRNA-Leu". It matches the Rfam family "tRNA". Rfam says of the family: Transfer RNA (tRNA) molecules are approximately 80 nucleotides in length. Lineage: Bacteria; Pseudomonadati; Verrucomicrobiota. The record is from RNAcentral.
GCUCGGGUGGUGGAAUGGCAGACACACCAGAUUUAGGUUCUGGCGCCGCAAGGUGUGCGGGUUCGACCCCCGCCCCGAGCACC